This is a non-coding RNA of Xylariaceae sp. FL1651, 90 nucleotides long. NCBI's taxonomy places the organism in Eukaryota, Fungi, Ascomycota, Sordariomycetes, Xylariales, Xylariaceae. The record is from the annotation of a GenBank genome assembly.
ACCAUUAUCGUCUAGUGGUUUAGGAUACCAGAUUUUCAUAUAACACAUAGAAAACCUCUGGGGACCGGAGUUCGAACCUCCGUGAUGGUG